UACUCUCCAUGCCCCCCACCUUGACAGUGGCAUCAUGAGAGUGCCUGUCCCUUCCUGCAGAGCACCCCUGCUUGGCAGAACUGCUGCAAAAGUGCCCUUUCAUAUGCACUGGGAUGGCUGGAGAUGGACCCUAGUAUAGGCUCCAUCCAUGCUGAGAGAGUGAGAGGGGUUCACUUAGGGCCUGUCAGGACAGCCCUGGCACAUCAUAAAUUUCAUGAACUGAGUUUUAUUUUCAUUCCAUAAUCUGUAUUUCAGAAGAUGUCUGACCUGCAGGAGCAGCAGCAGCAGCUUGGAAUCAUGGCCAAAAUCCCUUGUGAAGUCAGGGGCCUAGCCAGAACUAGGUGCCCACUGUGCACAAAGCUCUUCUCAUCCCCCAAAAUUCUGCCUUGCCUACACACAUUUUGCAUGGCCUGCCUUGAGCAGUUGGAACCCUUUUCAGUGCUCAGCGUCCAGGGGGAGGACUCAGACUCUACCUCCGAGGGGUCAUGGCUCCAAGAUCAUCGUCAGCCACCGCUCAGCAUCCUUUGUCCCAUCUGUGACACUGAGGUGGGUUUGCCACCAGGGGGCACUCAUGACUUGACCACUGACCACCUGGCCAUGAAUGAGAUGCUACAGGAAACCCUUCAGGCACCAGGCCCAGGAAUUCUGUGUGACCUCUGUGUGGAUGGGGAAGCCGUGAAGCACUGUCCCAUCUGCAAAGCCAAUCUCUGCCACUUCUGCUGCCAAGCUCACAGGAGACAGAAGAAAACAGCUUCCCAUGCUGUGGUGGGCCUAGAGGACCCAAAGGGCUACAGCCAGACUGGGAAGCCCAUCCUGUGUCCUUCCCACCCUUCAGAGGAGCUGACGCUGUUCUGCGAGCAGUGUGACCAGCCAGUGUGCCGGGACUGUGUGGUGGGCCAGCACCGUCAACAUCCAUAUGACUUUGCUGCCAAUGUCAUCCACAAGCAUGGGGAUUCCAUGCGGGAGCUCCUGAAGAGUACCCAGCUGCAUGUGGGCACCCUGGAAGGGGCCCUGCGCCACAUCGAAGGGGUCAGCAGUGCCAUCUGCAGUCGUGUGGAGGCUGUGGCUGGGGAGAUCCGCACAUUUGCAGAUGGAUACAUAAGGGCUAUUGAAGAACAUCGGAACCGGUUGCUGAAGCAGCUGGAAGACCUGAAGGUGCAGAAGGAGACCCUGUUGCACUUACAGAAGGUGCAGCUGGAGCAGCUGCUGAUGGACAUGCAGACUGGGGUGGAGUUCACUGAGCGCUUGCUGACCUGUGGCUCAGACCUGGAGAUCCUUCUCAUCAAAGGGGUGGUGGCGAACCGGCUGAGGAAGUUGAAUAAAGUGGAUUAUAACAUCCACCCUGGAGUGGAAGAUGGGAUCCAGUUCUCUCCCCGUGAGAAGGCUGGCCAAUGCUGUGGCUAUGCAGUUUUUGGGACCCUCCUCAAUCGGACAGUUGAUCCAGCCAAGUGUGUCCUGCAAGGGGAAGGUCUCCACAGUGCCCGUCAGAAUCAGCAGGCCAGCUUUACUCUGCUGUGUAAGGACACAUCAGGAGAGCAGAUGGGGAGAGGAGGAGAACCCGUCCGGGUCACUAUCACCCACAAAGACAAGAAGGACUGUACUCAUUGGGUUGUUGCAAAUCAUUGCAGUGUAACUGACUUUCUUUGGUCUCCUUCAUAUGAUACCAUGGCCUCUGACCGCAGUACAAUCAAGCCCAGUGUGUGCGAUAAGAGGGAUGGGACUUAUCACUUUUCCUACACCCCUGAGGAGCUGGGUGCAUACACGAUCUGCAUCUGUGUCAAAGGACAGCAUGUCCAGGGCUCGCCCUUCACUCUGACCGUGAAGAACAAAUUCCGCAAACACCAGGGUGUGUUUCACUGCUGCUCAUUCUGCUCCAGUGGAGGCCAGAAAGCCGCUCGCUGUGCUUGCGGUGGGACCAUGCCAGCCUUCAGCUCUCCAGAGGUGCAUGUGGAUUACAACAGUGGCAUGGACACCCUGCGGUAUGAGGCUCCCUGGUGGUUCCCUCAACCUGUUGUGAUUUGGACCUCACACAAUAGCACAAUGGACAACUUAUCUGAAAUCUUCAACACCAGCUGCAAGCUGAACUCUGAGAAUGUCACAAUGACGGUGGUGUCUGUUCAGCACCACAUUACAGCUAAUACUGCCUAGACCUGUGUAAUUAAGAAUGACAUUUCCAAAGCUACAGGGGACAUCAAAGUUACAGAAAAUAAGCUUGGAUCCCAAAGAUCACGCCACGGCAAUACCACCCCCACAGGAGAUGCAUUAUAUUUCCAGCUGACAAAAUGACCAUCCACAUGCCUUUGUCUAUGUUGGCUCAUUUAGCUUGUUAGGAAUAACUACUUGUAUUAGUGAUAAUAUGUUUAAUUGGCAAUGGGCGGAGAUACUGUAUAACUUUGUAGCUUAUUGGCUUAUGUGCAUAUUUCACUUCCGCUGCUAGACUGAUCAAAUCACUUCUCUUCCGUCCUUCUGCUACCUAUAUAAUCUAAUGUAUGUUUUGGUUAAGUUAGUGCCCACCAGGUUAACCCCCAUAAGUAUUCCACCAGCUGUGUGAACCAAUAAAUCCUCUGCUCGUUUUCACCUGCA
Molecule: non-coding RNA, 2583 nt
Organism: Pelodiscus sinensis (Chinese soft-shelled turtle)
Lineage: Eukaryota; Metazoa; Chordata; Testudines; Trionychidae
Source: RefSeq, a predicted model, not a curated record